Molecule: long non-coding RNA, 22050 nt
Filed under: Capsicum annuum
Lineage: Eukaryota; Viridiplantae; Streptophyta; Magnoliopsida; Solanales; Solanaceae
Description: long non-coding RNA (CANN_LNC005718)
Source: RNAcentral
AUGUUGGAUAUAGUCUACAAGAGGAUUAGCAUCCAAGGAUUCCUAAUAGCUGAUCUCAUGACAGUGUAUGCAGAUUUCCUGUCGAAAACAGUUGAGUACCUCCACGAUGGAAAACUUAAGGCCAUCGAAGAUAUCUCACAAGGCGUUGAAAGCAUUCCCUCUGCUUUUAUUGGAAUGUUCAAUGGAGAUAAUAUAGGCAAAAAGAUUGUCAAAGUUGCAGAUGAGUGAAAAAAAGAAAAAGAAGAUUCACGGCUGUUGGCCUAUACAUUCAUGAAUUCGCGAACAAUAUCUUAUCUGUACUUCUUUCAAGUUGUAAUCCAUUUAAGCAUUCAUCUUCUGCAUCAAGUUAAAGAACAAGUUUACGUAUUAUGCCUAUCUGAAUCUUGUUUAGUUUUCCUUUUCAUGUAUCCAGGAUUGAAACAAACUCUGUGAUCCUAGUCUACCAACUAUGCCUCAAUCCCAAAUUUUUUAUAUCAACUCAACAAAGUGGAAAAAUACAUCUUUAGCAACUACUUCAAGACCACUAUAAGAUAAAGCAAUAUCAAGGUCCCCAUCAACAUAGAGACCAACUAUUAUGCCAAAAUGAACCCGGGUACUGCAAUAGCAGAGAAGUAAAGUGACAAUGGUUGUACGUAAGUUAGUUUCAAUAGAAUAACAUGAUGGAAAACACUAAAUGUACUAGUAUCACAGUAGAAACAAAAUUUGAGAGGAAUGGAUCAGGAAGAGGAUAAACGUAAUACCAAGUGUUACAUUAACGGCAUUAAUCAUGAACCUGCAGUCAUCCUUCCAUUCAAACAGACUGUCAACAGCCUCUGCCAACGCAGAAUGAACAACUAACUUCUUGUGUUUUCAAGAAAUUAUGGUCCUACAAUUGCAGCCACAGGAAGACACACACAUAGUAGUGAAUGCUUCAUCGUAAGGCUAUUCAUCCUUGACGAGAGCGGUUAAAAGGCACCACAAAGAUGCAUAACCACAACUCCCCUGGAGAGCAAAGAACGUGCCAAAACUAGCACUCAUCAACUUGCGACACUUUUUUUUUUGGGAGAACUAAUUGCAAUAUAAGGAAAAAGAAUUCGAUAAUAUGGACUAUUAUCAUCACAAGUAUCAUGUGACAGAUCAACAUCUAGUUCAGAUUGAUCUACAAAAGCCACACAUUCAAGGGAAGGAGAAGCUUGUUCAACAUUUGUUAUGAUGAACUUGACUUUAAGCUACCAAUAAUGUGAGACGAGAUUUAGCAGACAGGUAACUCUCGCUACAUACAUGCACAUGGUAUGGUAAUAACAUCAGUACAUUACAAAGGAACUGUAGAAACAGGGAAAGCCCGCAUUUCUUCAUUGCGUUCCAAGCAGUUAGCACAGAGAGUGAACUAGCUGUUCGGUUGUUCCUAACAUAGCUUUUUCACUUCCUGAAAAUUCAAUUAGACAGAUUAGUUAGCUGAUAACUGCAUUGACAUCUCAUAUGACAAGUAAAAGCAGUAAUGAUCAAGAAAGCAACACAUGAAGAGCGAGUCCCGACACAGUCUACAUUUAAAGUGUAUUAAACACAAGCUGCUGGCCUUGUUUGAGCAUAAAAGACGAGCUGCAUUUCCCUACAUUUAAAUAUGUCGAAGGCUCUUUAGUUCAUGUUGUAAGCAGUGAAGAUGAACAAAUACAAGGUAGUUGGAUAACCUCAAGCUAGACUGCAUGAAAGUGGUGUAUAAAUGGUAUACUUAGUAUGACAAAUCCCAUAAGAAAAUAAAAAUGAACAAAGAGAUGCUCAUCCUGAUUCCAGUGCAACAUAUUGACCGGCCCAAAAAUGGGUAAUUUGAUUCAGAUCUGGAACACUUCACAGAAAGCAUGACCCUCCCACUACUAAAAAAGACCAAAAAAUGACGGCCAAAAGUGAAGGACAAUGUCGUUUUUUUGGACAACGUUGCUUUUUGCAAACGAUGGCCUGCGUCGCUUUUUUUACCGCGGACAAAGUCGUUUUUUGAAAAAAAAAAAAAGAUCUUUUUAGAAAAAGCGACGUUGUGCGUGGUUUUUUGUUCUUCAUGUGUAGAAUAAAUAAUGAAUAAAAAACGAUGGACAUUGUCAUUUUAUUGAAGAAAAAUAUUUUUUUUUUAGAAAAACCGACAACGUCCGUCGCUUUUCUAUAUUUUUUUGAAUGCAGAAAUCGGCAUUUUCUGCAUUCCACCUGCCAAAUAAAAAUGCAAUUCAAUAUGUACGGCCCCUGACAACACACAUUACUAAAAUAAUCAUACAACACACUACAUCAUCAAAACAUUUAAGCAAUUCAAUUAAACAACAUCCAAAACACUUAACAAUUAAUCCAACAACAUCAAAACACUUAAGUGAUCUUGAAGGUUUUCCAAUAGUUAAAAGUUAAAAGAAUGUUUAAAAAGUGUCUAGAAGCCAAAUCCAAAAACACUAAGGAGUAGCCCCAACAAACUCCUCAUCACUUUCUCCUCAUCACUUUCUGUUUCUUCUUCGCUACUUGAAUCGGGAGAUGGAGAACGGUGACGACAACGAUGAGUCAUGCUAACCAUUUGUUUCUUAAGUUCCUCGAUGGUCAUGCACAUGACUUCAGUUUGAGCAACAGAUUGUGCCACGACGCGUGUAAGCUGUGCAAUUUGUUGCGACAUAUCAGCGAGCUGAACACCAUUAAUCGCCUCAGCCUGGCGCGAGGAACCAAUACCAGCCCAUCCAACCUCGAAGCGUUGCAAUUCAUUUCGAGAACCCAACCCAUAGGUUCUCCCCUUGUCUUCCUCCCGCCACUUUUUCGGUCCGAAUUUGAAUAGCUUCCUCCUAUGUAGGCUCGAUUGGACCAAACUCAGACACGUAGCGUGUAUAUUCAUUCUGCAUAUUAAAAAGGACACGUUAGUAAAUUUUACUAUUACUAAGUAAGGUGGAGCAUAACGUAAAUUUUAAUAUGUUUUGCUUACAUAUUGAAUACAAAAAUAAAUAAGAAAUCAACUUUUUUUUCCUAAACAUUAUUUUAAAGCUAACUUUUGCUUUCCAUCAAAUCUAAUUCGACAAGAAUUUCCACACACAACCCUUUGACUUUUUAAAAUUUGUUCCUCGUAUUGUUUCCACAAAUUGUACAAUUAAAGUUAGCAUGGCUACGUCUCAUUUCAUCCUAUUUCCUCAAUGUAGUGCCACAAAAAGGAUCCAAAUCAACAAACAAUAAGUAAAUCCAUGUUAGUCAAAUUCUUGAAACAAUUUUCCUACAAGGAUUAGCAAAAAUCGUUCGAUAACACUUCUUCCUAUUUCUUUCUCAAUGAUAUCCGACGAUCAAUUUUCCUUGCAAGUACAUACUCGGUACAUUGACCUCGGUCAGAUUUCAGAAAAUUAUGCUAAUACGUUGAUAUCAAACAAAAUAGACCUUCCGAGAAAUGCAUUAAACAAGCCUAUUAGUAAUUUGUACUUGGUGAUACAUCACCAUAGCAUUGAAGAGUUCUUGGAAAGGUCAAGUUACAGAUAUGAUUUGCUACGGUAUUUAGCAACAAGAUAGAGAAUUACUUACAGUAGGGAGACAACUUGUUUAAAAUAACAAAGAAGAGGAGAAUUGAGCUUUAGUAAUUAGAAGAAAGCAUCGCAUUAAACAACGCUUUAAAUCCCAAUAGAUUUAUCUAGAUUCCCCUGUUCAUUGGCAUCUCCAAUCUACACUAGUGAUAAAAACAGUUUAAUGUGUUUCCUCAAUCCUUUUCUCCUUCCAACCCACUUUUCUUCAUGACAACUUUAUUACCAAACUGCGAGAAGAUUUAAAUUGACCAAAUAUGCAACAGAAUGAGAAGAUAGACCUGGAGAAAAUUAUCAGUAAGCUAUAAGCAGCAACGAAAAGGACCAAAUUAGAUAGUAUCUCCUACUUUAACUCUUAUUCAGUAAUGCCACUAUUUCGUAUUUUUCCCUGUUAAGUUUCACCUAAGAAGACAAGUAAAAGUAGGUGCGAGAUCAAACACUAGCACGGGUUAGGCACAUUAUGCUGCCAUGAUUUCUGUGUCCGUGGUCCCCUUUAUGAUUACUCUAUCUAGAGGCCGAAUCGACCCCCUUAUAAAGCUUCUCAAGAAGAACACUAAAAUUAGUCCAGAAGAAAAACACAGAUUAUGUAGAUUGUAAUACCUGAAGAAAAAUACAGCUAGUAACUAGAAGCAAUGAGAAAACCAAAACAAAUCCAGAAGAAACUAAGCAGUUAGCUACCUAUUAGCUGCAAUGAGAAAAGCGAAAAUCAGAUACUAGGAAGACCGUAAUAUCGAUUCCAAAAGUAUCGAGUUUCCGCUUUAUGCCUCAUUAGGUUUCACCAAUAAAAGAUUAAUUAAAGAAGCCACUAGAUCAAACAAUAACCCUGGGAAGGACCUCAGCUUUAUCGGUGCAUUCACAUGCCAAACGUUCUAUGUUCAUGGUGCUCUUACUCCGACUAGAGGCAUAACAUUCUUUAAAACACCGCUGAACAAGAGAAAAGAUGUCCAACAUCAUUUAGUUCAAAGUCAAAGACAAAUUUAUUGUUCCUUGAAGAUAGUGCAUAAAGGAAAAAAUGACUAACAAGAUCUCGAAGCAAUACGGUUUAAAGAUGUCUUUUACAUAUGCAUUGUCUUGUUCUGUAUGCGAAAUAACAAUACGAACUUAACAGCAAUUGAGGAAAACAAAGUAUACUUACAAGUUCUUUGUCACUUGGUUUUCUUUGAUUGGAGUUUUUUCAGCCUUUUGUGUUUUGUUGCAUCUGCAGCCUCUUCUUUAGAAAAAGGACAAACUAGACUUUCAACGUAGAUUGCUAUCUUAGGAAACUCAUCAAAAUCAAUAACCUCUGAAUAUCUAAAUGAAGAAUCCUUCAGCUUGUAUAUCAUGGAAUAUUUAACAAACCUGAAAAAAAUUUCACCUUUGUUUGACAUGAAACAAGGCAGAUAAAAAUCACACCGCGGUGUAUCAAAAGGAUAAUUGACGGUUAACAUCUUUGUCCAAGAUUGUUUAACCCCAUACUCCUUCAUAACCCAAAAAUCUACAUGAGAGGUCGCAUUAUCACAAAAAAUGGAAAGAUCACUUCCCAACACUCCCAAAUACAAAUGAAUAUAUCCCUCUUUGUAGCAAGGAUGCUCCACUUCUCCCCAUUUCUCGUUAGCCAAAUCAAACGAUAUGAUGUUCCAUUCCUUAUAGUCACUUAUCAAACAUUCACCUUAGCAUUAGGCCAGUGAAGUUUCCCCUUCACUAAGAUAUCUGAAAUGUAUACUUCCUCUCGACUUUUACACUUCCUCAAUUGACAAUCGUCAACACUUCCCCAAGAAUCACACUUUAGACUAUAUAGUUUGAGCUCACCUCGAUCGAACUUUACCUUUUCUACAAAAGGUACCCAAUAACUUAUAAUCAUCAUGAAACUUAUCAUAUCCAAAACCAUACACGAGCGCUUUAUCAAACCACAAUGUAGCUCUAGGACAAGGUAAUUUUUUGUACUUUCUAUUCGAUGGAUUCCAUAGAAACAAAUUAUAUUUAGAAUCCACAAGACAAAUCAAUCCAUUGAUAGAACUUAGAAUUGUUAUAUAACUAGGCAAUUCAUUGUACAACCCGUCGGAUAUCAUACGAUGACCCAAGUCAGAUACCUCCGUAACAGAAUCAUUAAAUAAAGAAUCAAGAUUACAAUCUUAAAUAUUCACCCCCUGUAUAGAAUUCCACAUCACCCUAUGUUGGGUAUAACUACUAAGAUGAGUUUGGAUAAAUUCGGGGCUCGAGAUUAAAGCAAGCCAAGAUUUCGAAACACACCUGAAUUGCAAGAGGGACAAAACUCAACAUACGCUUAUAAUGUAGAUGCUCAUUAUUAUUAUCAGAUACAAUAAAAUGUGUAUUAUUAAAUUCGGGGCUAGAGAUUUAGCAAGCCAAGAUUUCGAAACACACAAACUCAACAUAAGCUUAUGAAGUAGAUACUCUUCUUACUACUCCCUCCCCUGACAAUAUUUGUCCACUACACUAAAAUUAAAAAUAAAUGUCAAACAAUACUUGUCUGGUUUAAAAAUCAAUGAAUAAUUUACCCUUUUCUACCCACUUUACCCUCGCUAUUAAAUACUAUUCAUCACUCAAUACAUUUUUCAAAAUAUUAAAGUUAUUACUCCUUCCGUCUAUUUUUACUUGUCCACUUUUCUUAUUAUUUUGGGAUGUGCAACAAUACUUGUCCAAUUUACAAAACCAAUGGUAUUAAAUAUAAUACAUCUCUCAUUUCAUUUUUGAAAGCAAAAAAAUUAUUAUAUUCAAAAGGUGACAUAGUAAAAUCACCCCUCCAUUUAUCGUUUCAAGGUACGUGCCAAGUAAAAAGUGGAUAAGUAUUUACGGACAGAGGGAGUGUAUUCAAAUUUUAUCCUUACUAUUAGAUACUACUCAUCACUCAAUACAUAUUUCAAAAUAUUAAAUUUAUUAUAUUCAAACAGUAAUAUCGUAAAAUUACCCCUAUUAUAUAUUAUUUCUUAACAUGCAUGCCAAUACAGGUAUUGUUGGACAGAGGGAGUAAUAUAUUCGGGGCUAAAUAUUAAAGCAAGCCAAGAUUUCUAAACAUACCUGAAUUUCAAAAGGGAUGAGUUCAGCCGGCAGAAGAGGGAUUGUAAAGUUCAAAUCUUGCAUUGAAUUUGAUGGAAAUCCAGCAGAUUUUGUGCGCUUCUUCCAUUUUUGGUGUUGAGAGUAGGCUUUAUCUUCCUCAUUUUCCAUUUGGGCGCCACAAAUUUGAGUGAAAUUUUCGCAAAGUUUAUAGUAGUCAGCUGUGGAUCGAAUUCGACAUGGGUCGGGUCGGGUAUAUUGGGAAUAGUGGGUUCUCUCUUCAAAAUUGGAUAUCUUUAGGCAAUUUGGGGUUUUUCGUUUAUCUAGAGUAUGGGUAACACAUUUAUUAAUUGUGAGUCAGGUAGACGAUUUGUAAAAAUUGAUCGUAUUUUUGAAAAUAACUUCUUCUAUUUUAUUUUAUUGAAUACUUGGCGCAUAACUUUAUUUGAUUAUUUAAUACUAUGGUAGUAUGGAAAAUAAAUAAUAGAAUACUCUUGAUUUGUAAAAAUAAAUAAGUAAAUUAAAAUUUUCUUGACUUCUGAUUUUGAAUACAAUUCUUUUAAUUUUGAAAUUGUGGGGUCUAAACGACCAAUUUUAAAUGAAAAAUUGGGCGUGUUGUAGCAUAGGCGUUUAGGUCAUAUCUCUAAAUACAGAGUUGAUAGAUUGGUUAAGUCUAAUAUUUUACCUUCUCUUGAUUUUGGGGACAUAGGAACAUGUAUUGAUUGCAUUAGAGGAAUGAUACAAAAGUGAGUGUGUAUCAAUAGAGUCAAGCCAACACAAGAACACAAGAAUAACAAGAUGAACAACAACAAUGUUAGUGAAUCGAAAUAGGCCACACACGGCUUCACUAGACUUCAAGGUUUACAAAAACAAUAAGAUGAUAGAGAUUACAAUAACAACAAGAAGAGCGACAAAGUGACAUCAACUAUAGUGAAUCGAAAAUAGCCCCACACGGCUUCACUAUGUUACCAUACAAACAACAAGAUUACAAAAUUAAAGAUAGUAACUUGACAUACAAUAUUCAAGAAUCUAAGAACCCUAACAACAUGAAAGGACCCUAAGAUUAAAGAAUAUUAUCACCAAGCUCUUACUUGGACCAAGAGGAACUCAAUGACCUCAAGAUCCUAGUUUCUAGCCAAGAUUCAACCCAAGUGUCACUCCAAUUGGGAAUUUCGGUUUUGAGCUUUUCCAAUGGAAGAGAAAAGUUCAAAAUAUUACAAGUCUUGUGUUCUCAAAAUAUCAUGAAUGAACUACCACAAGACUAGCCCUAACAAAUGACUUAUAUAGUCAAUUACAAAGGAGGGACAAAAGACCAAAAUACCCUUGGCAUUAAGUGGGUGGGUUUGGGGUGUUUUGUUGGGCCUCUUCACAUUUUAAUAACUAUAGGCCCUUUGAUGGGCUCACAAGGGCCUCACACAAGGCCAAGGAUGUGAACAAGGUUUGGAGUCGUUGCAACUCACGCGCUUGGCUUCAUGUGAAAGGUCUCGAGCUAGGAAUUCUCGCACCAUCCUCUCCAUCUUGAAGGGAAUUUGUCCUCAAAUUCGGAUCAUUUCCAUCCUCCACCGUGUCCACCCGAGAGAGGUCACACACGUUGAAAGUGUUGUGCACUUGAUAUUCCGGGGGUAGAUCAAUCUUGUAGGCGUUGUCGUUGAUCCUUUCUAAUACUUGGAACGGGCCAUCACCCCGCGGCAUCAACUUAGCAUUCCUUUUAGAUGGGAAUCUAUCCUUCCUUAGGUGCACCCACACCCAAUCUCCCAGUUUAAGAAUGAGCUUUCUUCUUCCUUUAUUGGUUCGCCUUGCAACUUCUUGGUUUUUCUUCUCCAACCGCAACCUCACCUUCUCAUGUAGCUUCUUAUGGCCUCGGCCUAUUUGCUUCCAUCUAAGCUUAUCACAAAAUCACUUGGCAAAGGGUUUAAAUCCAAAGGGGUAAGGGGGUUGAUUUCGUAUACACACUCGAAGGGUGUCAUCCCCGUGCUUGAGUGUAUAACACGAUUAUAAGCAAACUCAAUCAACGGUAAGUGCUCCUCCCAAGAAGUCAUUUUUCCCUUAACCAUGGACCGUAGCAUAGACCCUAAGGUCCUAUUUACUACUUCCGUUUGGUCAUCGGUUUGUGGGUGGCAUGAAAUCGAAAACAACAACUUAGUACCGAGCUUACCCCACAUGGACUUCCAAAAGUGGCUUAGGAAUUUAGAAUUCUUAUCACUCACUAUAGUCCUCGGAACACCAUGAAGUUUUACAAUAUUAUCAACAAACAAAGAGGCUACACUAGGCGCAUCAUCACAUUUAGAACAAGGAAUAAAGUGAGCCAUCUUGGAAAACUGAUCCACCACGACAAAAAUACUAUCCCGCGCCCUUUUAGUUCUCGAUAAUCCCAACACGAAGUCCAUUGAUAUAUCAAGCCAAGGACGCAAAAGGGUGGACAACGGGGUGUACAAUCCAUGGUGUUGGAUCCGUGACUUAGCUCCUUUGCACUCAACACAUUGGCCGCAAAUUCGGGCCACAUCCUUGUGCAUUCUGGGCCAAUAAAAUUAUUCUUCCAAAAUUUCGAGGGUCUUCUCGACCCCAAAAUGACCCAUUAGAUAGUCAUUGUGUGCUUCCUUCACAAAUAAUUCUCUCCACGAACUUGAGGGAACACACAAUCAUCUACCCUUAAAUAAGUAUCCAUCAAAUUUGGUAUAAGGAUAGGAACCCCUAUCCGUAACCCACCUAUCCCUAUCCAACUCUUUAUUUUCCCUAUAGAUAGGAGCGAAGUGAGGGUCCUCGGGAUAUAAAGACUUGAGGCUUUCAAACCCCAUCAACUUAGAUGACAAAGUAGACACAAGCACAUGUUUUCGGGACAAAGCAUCGGCAACCACAUUGUCUUUACCCUUCUUGUAAUGAAUAACAUAAGGGAAAUUUUCAAGAAAUUCAAUCCAUUUGGCAUGCCGCCGGUUAAGCUUGUCUUGUGCCCGUAGAUGCUUCAAGGAUUAAUGAUCUGUUUGGAUCAUGAAUUCUUUAGGCCACAAAUAAUGUUGCCAAGUGGCCAAGGCUCUAAUCAAGGCAUACAACUCAAAAUCAUACGUAGAGUAGUUUAGAGUUGCUCCUUUGAGCUUUUCUCUAAAGUAGGCAAUAGGCUUCAAUUCUUGCAUUAAAACCGUACUUAUGCCGACUUUGCUAGCAUCACAUUUGACCUCAAAAAGUCUAGUCAAAAUUCGGCAAUUGUAGUAAAAGGGUCGAGAUGAGCAUAGCUUUCAAGUCCUCGAAGGCCUUAGCUUGUUCAUUUUUCCACUUGAAAGGUCGAUCCUUUUUAAUCACUUCGGUCAAGGGGGCGGCAAUGGUGCUAAAUCCUUUGACAAAACGUCUAUAAAAACUAGCCAACCCGUGGAAGCAUCUCACUUCACCUAUGGUUUUGGGGGUUGGCCAAUUUUUAAUAGCGUCAAUCUUAGAUUCAUCCACUUCGACCCCUCUUGAGCUCACCACAAACCCAAGAAAUACAACCUUAUGGAGACCAAAAGAACACUUUUCUAGAUUGGCAUAUAACUUCUCCUUUCGGAGGACAUCAAAUACACAUUAUAAAUGCUUUACAUGCUUAUCUAAGGACUUACUAUACACCAACACGUCAUCAAAGUAAACAACAAAAAAAAUUCUGAUAAAUGGCUUUAUCACAUGAUUCAUUAGCCUCAUGAAAGUACUUGGAGCAUUUGUUAGGACGAAUGGCAUAACCAUCCAUUCACAGAGACCGAAUUCGGUCUUGAAGGUGGUUUUCCAUUCAUCACCCGAUUGCAUACGAAUUUGGUGAUAGCCACUCCUUAAAUCAAUUUUAGAAAACAAACACGAACUAUUCAAUUCAUCAAGAAUAUCAUCUAGCCUAGGAAUAGGGUGAUGAUAUUUUACUGUUAUCUUGUUGAUGGCUCGGCAAUCAACACACAUACACCAAGUCCCGUCUUUCUUGGGCACUAGUAGCACCGGGACUGCACAAGGGCUCAUACUCUUCUUGAUAUACCCUUUGUUGAGGAGUUCCUCAACUUGGCAUUGCAAUUCUUUGGUAUCCGUUGGGUUGCUCCUAUAAGCCGGUUUGUUGGGCAAUUGUGAACCCAGUACAAAAUCUAUUUGAUGCUCAAUUCCCCAAAGUGGGGGCAAUUCUUGUGGUAAUUCUUUCGGGAAGACAUCUUCGUAAUCCUGUACAACAUGAGAAAUAGGAGGAGAAAUGGAAACGUUAGUGGGGUUAGUAUUAAAAUAAUGAGCCAAGAGGAGCAUCGGAGUGUCCUCAUCAUGAUCCACAAAUAGUUCUUUCCUCCUAUACAUCAUCACCACACUUCCUUGCCCCUUAGAAAUUAGGAUCUCCUUGGUUUCUCCUACUCUCUCACUCUCGGAUUCCCCUCUUUUUCCCUCACUCUCGACCUUCUUUCCCUUCUUCCUCAAUUCCCGCAUCUUUUGGUGUAAUUCAUUCACUUGGGAAGGCAAUAAUGGAUGAAGAGCGAACUUUCGGCCAUCCUUCUCAAGUGUAUAUCGAUUGGACCUUCCAUCAUGUUUAGUCGACCUAUCGUAUUGCCAAGGCCUUCCUAACAAUAAGUGACAAGCUUGCAUUGGUAUCACGUCACAAAGCACCUCGUCAUGGUAGUUGACUACCUUAAAACGUAUCACGCAUUGCCUUGUGACCUUUAACUCUCUGCAUUUAUUCAACCAUUGCAACUUGUAAGGACUAGUGUGAGGUGUAGUUGGAAAUUUCAAGAAGUUCACCAUUGCAACACUAACCACAUUCGCAUAACUUCCACUAUAUAUCACCAUAGUGCACACACUUCCCUUCAUAAGACAUUUAGUAUGGAAUAGAUUCUCCCGUUGGCUAGGAUCAUCUAUCACCUUACUAAUCAUGGCACGCCUCACUACAAAGUUUAGAACCACACACUCCCCUUCUUUCGGAUAUGGAUCCUCACAAUCAUCAUCAUCAUCAUGUGGCUCAUUUUUGGGUUCCUCUCCAUCUUGAGUCUUGGCCUCAUUCUCUUCAUUUUUAAGACCCACUUCCUCACCAAGGUAAUACAAUCUCUCUUCUCUUAGGAUCACAUUGUGUCGGUUUGGACAUUCAUUGGCUUUAUGUCCCCAACCUUGGAACUUAAAACAUUGGAACCCUUUAGGAUUAGGAUACUUAUGAGCCUCUUGCCUUGGUGGAUAUUUUUGUAUUGCCUUGGCCUCGGGUUGCCUUGUAGUGGUGUGUUGGUCUUUGUUUUUGUGCCAACCCGUGGUGGAGGAAGCAACCUCCUUACCCCUCGGCCAACCCGAGGGUGCUUGACCCUUGGAUUUGUAACUUGUUCUUUCCUUAAAUUCUCUUUCAAUUUUAAUGGCCUCUUGAAAGAUUCCUUCAACGGUAUCAAAUUUAUGGAGAGUCAAGUGAGUAGUAAUAUCCUUAUUCAACCCACACUUGAACCGAAUAAUGUCAUGGACGAUUUGUUCUCCCCGAUGGCCAAGCUUCAACAUGAGUUAUUGAAACUCAUCAUAGUAUGCCAUAACACUUCGAUUCCCUUGUCGCAAGUUGUACAACCUCGCAAUCAACUCAUGACGAUACCUUUUGGGAAGGUACCAUUGCCUCAUUAGAUACCUUAAUCGAAACCAUAGUGGUGGUUGCCUAUGUAUCAACUCAUUUCCAAAUCGCUUGAUGUAUUCCCACCAAGUGUUAGCAUAGACUUCAAAGUGGGCUAUGGCAUAAAAACUCUUCUUCUCCUCGAAAAUAUCAUUCACUUGGAAUACCUUGUCACACGCUGAUUCCCAAGCGAGAUACACCUCGGGGUCACUUUCACCCUUAAAGAUAGGUAGACUCAAUUUGAUGGUAUUGAUGCCCAUGUCUCUCUCUAGGUGUUGGUUUCCCCUUUCUCUAUACCCUCGGUAUCUCCUUGGAUCCACACGACCCUCUCUCAUCUCCUCCUCCCUUAUGUAGGCAUCGUCAUAGGCUCCAUACCCUUCAUAAUCCCCUCUACCAUAUUCCUUAAGAUGGACAGGACGAUUUUGGACAUUUGGAACUUGAUUCGGAGGAAUUGGAUUUUGUGGAGGUGGUGGUAUUUGGUUUAGUGGAGCUUGGAAAGAGGGGGUUUGGGUUUUGUGGAGGCAUUUGACGUCUAAGUACCUCUUGCGGAACUUGAGGAAUUUGGGAAUGGGUUGGUCUAUUAGAGUCUCGAUUUAGAAUGUUAUGAGUGGUUUGGCUUGCGGCAUUUAGGGGAGCUAGUGAAGAAAUUGGCAAUUGUGGCCAUGUUUUGGGAGUAACGGUGGCGGAGGAAUUUCUAUCAUGUCCACUUGAUGAAACAUUUCAAAGAGUAGAAGGACGAGAGUUCCUUUGACUCUCCACUUAUUCUAAUUCCUUUGACUCUCCACUUGUUCUAACCUCCCACUAAUAGUCGUCACUUCUCACCUUAUGGCUCCCACUUCCAUACUCAAUCUUUCAAGAGUGACCCUCAUAUUCUUCAUUUCAUUAGAAUCCACGGUUUGACAUGUGGUUCCCUCCAUUGUCAAGGUAUCACCUACGCAAACAUCAAACACGUUAGUUAAAAUCCCUCUUCUCACUCACACUCGAGCUCCACAAGUGUUGUAGAUUGGCUAGUUGAAUCCUUAAGGUAUGAGUAUGCUUUUGUCCGGAGUGGAUUUUUGUUGGAAACUCAAAGAAUUCUCGUCGGAAUAGAGCCAAGAGUUACAACGUAUUCAAAUGACAAAAGAACACAAACAAACGUUGACACGAACACAAAGCUUCAAAGGACUAAUUAACAAGCUAGUAGGAAUGUACUAGGUUGUCAAUUAGUGUUCAAACCAACAAAAAACACUAAGAAACAAUAAAAUUAAACUAAGAAAUCUAAAAUUUGAACUCAAAAUAUUGUGUGAACAGUAAUUUAGUGAUGUGGCAGUCCACUAUUGGCCUCGGUUUUGUCAGAAUUUUACUCUCCAAUUUCAAGUCUUGACCAAUCUAUAAUUUGGAAAUGGUGGAAUUGGUUAAUGGAGGAAAAUUCGAUCUUGAAGCUUACUUUUCAAAUUCAAAACAAGACUUGACCUUCUUGGUACUUUCUCCUUGAAACAAGGUCAUUAAAUCAAGGAAAGUAGGUGAAAAGUGGUUGUCAAGUCUUUUGAGUGAUGUGAUCAAGUCUUUCAUCAACAAAUACUACAACUUGGUGUUUCACCUUUUGUGGAUCUAAUGUUAACUUUUUGUUUUAAAAAAGAUGAAAAGGGUGAAGAACAAAAAGAACACAAUAACAACCCCAAGAACAACCAACAACAACCACGGCCAAAACAAUCCACCACAACAACAAUGUUCAACAAUGGACAGCCAAGUUCAAGUUCACAAUAACAAAAUCAAUUUUUAGAGCUCAAAUCUAGAUCGACUCAAAGUGUUAGUGAACAAGAGAAAUAAAACUAGAAACAACACUGAAGACAAUUAAAAAUCUUUCGAAGACACAACAAGAAUACAAUUUUUGUCCAAGAACACAACAACGGACAGAUUUGACUGUUUCUGAAAUUUUUCAGUUUUCAGUUUUUUUGUUUUUUGUAGUUUUCAAGUCCCAAGCCCAAGAUUGAUCUUGUUAAAACAAAAUCGAAGAUGACUUUGAUACAAAAGUGAGUGUGUAUCAAGAGAGUCAAGCCAACACAAGAACACAAGAAUAACAAGAUGAACAACAACAAUGCUAGUGGAUCGAAAUAGGCCACACACGACUUCACUAGACUUCAAGGUUUACAAAAACAAUAAGAUGAUAGAGAUUACAAUAACAACAAGAAGAGCGACAAAGUGGCAUCAACUAUAGUGAAUCGAAAAUAGCCCCACACGGCUUCACUAUGUUACCACACAAACAACAAGAUUACAAAAUUAAAGAUAGUAACUUGACAUACAAUAUUCAAGAAUCUAAGAACCCUAAAAACAUGAAAGGACCCUAAGAUUAAAGAAUAUUAUCACCAAGCUCUUACUUGGACCAAGAGGAACUCAAUGACCUCAAGAUCCUAGUUUCUAGCCAAGAUUUAACCCAAGUAUCACUCUAAUUGGGAAUUUCGGUUUUGAGCUUCUCCAAUGGAAGAGAAAAGUUCAAAAUAUUACAAGUCUUGUGUUCUCAAAAUAUCAUGAAUGAACUACCACAAGACUAGCCCUAACAAAUGAAUUAUAUAGUCAAUUACAAAGGAGUGACAAAAGACCAAAAUACCCUUGGCAUUAAGUAGGUGGGUUUGGGGUGUUUUGUUGGGCCUCUUCACAUUUUAAUAAGUAUAGGACCUUGGAUGGGCUCACAAGGGCCUCACACAAGGCCAAGGAUGUGAACAAGGCUUGAAGUCAUUGUAACUCACGCGCUUGGCUUCAUGUGAAAGGUCUCGGGCUAGAAAUUCUCAUAUCAAGGAAAGUUGACUAAAACAAGCAAAAAGAAUGAUAUUUGUAGUUCUAGUUGUUGAAAAUCAUUCACCCAGACAUAAGUGGUCCGUAUUAUACUUCAAUAUGUGGUUCAAAUUAUUUUAUCACCUUUAUUGAUAACUUUUCUCGGUAUGAUUAUGUUUUUCUUAUUAAAAAAAUCAUAUUCUCUUGAAAUGUGCAAAGUGUUUAAAACUGAAGUAGAGAAACAACUGGGAAAGGUUAUUAAGAUAGUGUGGUCUGAUCAUGAGGGUGAGUACUAUGGUAGAUACACUGAGACUGGGCAACAGAUGGGACCUGUAACACCCCAACUUAGGAAGGAGUUCCACAUCAGCAAAACACAGGAGGAAUGUUUGGUAUAUAAGUAAGAAAACCUUACUCCCUAGUGAUGCGUUAAAUCCAUGAGGGCCUGGACCCAGAGUGGACAAUAUCACUAGUGGGUUGAGGAGUUCAGGGGUAUCUCGGGCCUUGAUGGUUCAGGAUGUCCGUUAUGGCCAGGGCCCGAGCUCGGGUCAUGACAGAACUCUUUGCCAAAUAUCUACAAGAUUGUGGCAAAGUUUCCCAGUACACCAUGCCUGGUAGUCCUGACCAAAAUGGUGUAGUCGAAAGGCGAAAUAGUACUUUAAAAGAUAAUAAUGAGAAGUAUGAUGAGUAGAUCUAACUUACCUGAGUUUCAAGCUAUUAAAACUGUACUUUAAAAGAUAUGAUGAGAAGUAUGAUGAGUAAGCUAUUAAAAUCAUACUUUAAAAGAUAUGAUGAGAAGUAUGAUGAGUGUGAAGCUAUUAAAAUUGUACUUUAAAAGAUAUGAUGAGAAGUAUGAUGAGUAAGCUAUUAAAAUCAUACUUUAAAAGAUAUGAUGAGAAGUAUGAUGAGUAAGCUAUUAAAAUCGUACUUUAAAAGAUAUGGUGAGAAGUAUGAUGAGUAAGCUAUUAAAACCGUACUUUAAAAAACUUGUACUUUAAAAGAUAUGAUGAGAAGUGUGAUGAGUAAGCUAUUAAAACCGUACUUUAAAAGAUAUGAUGAGAAGUAUGAUGAGUAUGAUGAGAAGUAUGAUGAGUAAGCUAUUAAAAUCGUAAUUUAAAAGAUAUGAUGAGAAGCCGUAAUUUAAAAGAUAUGAUGAGAAGUAUGAUGAUUAGAUACGAUGAGUAGAUCUAACUUACCUGAAAUCCUCUGGGUUGAAGCUGUUAAAACCUCCAUAUAUAUUCUUAAUUGUGUCCCUUCCAAAUCAGUCCCUAAAACCCCUUUUGAGUUGUAGAACCAACAGAAAAUUUAGUUUAAAUUAUUUUCGAGUUUAGAGACCUUCUGCAAAGGUAAAGAUAUAUAACCCUUCAGAAAAAAAAACUGAACCUAGAACCAUGCGUUGUUUUUUCAUUUGGUUAUCCAACUGCGAAUGUAAAGAUAUAUAACCCUUCAGAAAAGAAAACUGAACCUAGAAGUUGUUUUUUCAUUAGUUAUCCAACUCAUUCUAAAGGAUAAAGGUUCUACAGUCCUACAAGGGGAACAAGAAUAGUUGAAUCUCAAAAUGCAAAACUUCUUGAAUUUGAUGUUGCAGAUAAGGAUUGUUCUCAGCAUAUCUCAGCAUAUCACUCCUGACUUAAUUGUUUCCCAUUCAAGUCAGUCCUUAAAACCCCUUUUGAGUUAUGGACCAAUAUAAACUUCAGUUUAAAUCAUUUUUCGAGUUUGGAGAUGUUUUGCGAAGGUAAAGAUAUAUAACCCUUCAGAAAAGAAAACUGAACCUAAAACCUCGCAUUGUUUUUUCAUUGGUUAUCCAGCUCAUUCUAAAGGAUACAAAUUCUAUUAUCCUACAAGGGGAACAAGAAUAGUUGAAUCUCAAAAUGCAAAAUUUCUUGAAUUUGAUGUUGCAGAUAAGGAUUGCUCUCAGCAUAUUGCUCCUGAGCCAACUGAAAGUAUUGAAGCUGUCAGAAUUCCUCUUAGUAUUACCUCAAAAUCAUUAGUAUCUGCACCUAUACAUGAUGAACCUCAUAUACAUGUGCAAACUGAUGACUUUGUACCUGCAGAAAUUAGGUGCCUAUUAUUGAAAAAGUGGUUCAGGCACCUGCUGUUGUUGAUCAAGAGGUUCAGAAUUUAAGGAGAUCAAGUAGACCAAGACGAUCGUGCGCUAUUGGAUGAUUAUUUAGUAUACCUAGAUGAAGGUGACAUUGUUGAUCCUGUAACCUUUUCGGAAGCUUCAUCGUGUGCUCAAUCAAAGAUGUGGCUUGAUGCUAUGUCUGAAGAGAUAAAAUCCAUGAGUAAAAAUAAUGUGUGGGAGCUUUCAAAGCUUCCUAAAGUCUAAAAGGUUGUUGGAUGUAAAUGGAUUUUUAUGACCAAGAAGGAUUCAAUGGAAAUAUUGAACGAUUCAAGGCGAGAUUACAAUGAAACUUUUUCACCAGUGUCAUCUAAGGAUUCUUUUAGGAUCAUUAUGGCAUUAGUAACCCAUUUUUAUCUUGAGCUACAUCAAAUGGAUGUAAAGACAACCUUUUUGAAUGGUGAUCCUAAUGAAGAGAUUUACAUGCAACAACCCCAAGGUUUUGUUGGUAAAGGCAGCGAGCAUCUUGUGUGUAAAUUGAAGAAAUAUAUUUAUGGCUUGAAGCAAGCUUCUCGAUAGUAGUACUUGAAGUUUGAGGAAAUUAUGAAUUCUAUGGGGUUUGUGGAGAACAAUAUUGAUCAUUGCUUCUAUCUCAAGAUUAGUGGGAGUAAUUUCAUCAUUCUCACUCUUUACGUUGAUAAUAUUUUACUUGCUAGUAAUAAUUCAGGACUGUUGCACGAAAUUAAACAUUCAUUAAAUAAAAUUUUUGAUAUGAUAUAUCUAGGAGAGGCAUCAUUUGUUCCGGGCAUUGAGAUUCGACGAGAUAGAUCUCGUAAGUUAUUGGGGUUUUCACAAAAGGCCUAUAUUGAUCGUAUUUUGAAAAGAUCUCAAAUGAAAAAUUGUAAGCCUGGUGAUGUCCCUGUGGUGAAAGGUGAUAAGUUAAGCCUAGACUUGUGUCCCAAAAAUGAUCUUAAGAAAGAUUCUAUGAAAUAUGUGCCUUAUCGAAGUGUUGUUGAAAGUCUUAUGUAUGCACAAGUUUGCACUCGUCCUGACAUUGCUUUCAUUGUCAAUGCUCUUGGAUGUUAUCAAACUAAUCCAGGAAGAAGUCAUUGGGUAGCUACUAAGAAAGUAAUGAGGUGCUUGAAGAAGACAAGAGAUUAUAUAUUAGUGGACAAAAACGUUGACGACCUUGAGGUAAUUGGUUACAUAGACUCAGACUUUGCUAGGUGUCCUGAUGAUUUGAGGUCCACAUCUGGCUUUAUCUUUAUGUUUCCAGGGGGUGCGAUAUCUUGGAAGAGUGUGAAGUGAACUCUUAUAGCAUCUUCCACUAUGCAAGCAGAAUUCGUAGCUUGUUAUGGUGCAGCUACACAAGCCAUUUGGUUUAAGAAUUUUAUUUCAGGGCUUGUGGUAGUUGAUUCCAUCUCUAGCCCCUUGAAGAUUUAUCGUGACAAUAAGGCAGCUGUGUUUUACUCAAAAAAUAAUAAAUCUUCUUCAGUUUCUAAGCAUAUGAAAAUAAAAUCUCUGACUGUGAGAGAUAUGGUUAAAAGGGAGGACAUUGUGAUUGAACAUACACCUACCGAUUUGAUGUUUGUUGCUCCACUAAUCAAGGUGCUAAGACCUAUAGUUUUUACACAACAUAUUCAUAAUAUGGGUGUUGUUGAGUCAUUUGAUUUGUUGGGUUAGUGGGAGUAUUUAAUAUUGUUAUUCAUUUGUCAUUAGACUAUUCACCUUAUUGUUUCAUAUUUAUGGUGAUAUUAUCUCUUGAAUUUACAUUUAUGCUAUAGUAGAUUUUGCUAUCAUUUAUGUUGUUGAUUAUUAUUGUGUACACUUUAAUAUUGUUUUAUUAUAUUAAGGCUUUUUGCCUUACGUGUUAGCUAUAUCUCAUAUUGAUAAGAUGAUAUUGUUGUUUUAUUGAAUUUUUCUUUUGGAGACAUACGAUAUAUCAUUCUACCUAGUGAAUUUUUUGGUUGUUGCACCAUGUAAUAUGUUGCACAUGUUGAACCUUGAAAAUCAAGAUUUUCUGCUGGAGCACAUGUUGUUUUAGUGCUCACACAUGUUGUAACAAAAUCGCGGUGAUGAUUUUUCUAUGGUACGCAUGUUGAUUUUAAACGUACAUGUUAAUAUGAAAAAUCGUUUGAAGGACUAACAAUGAAAUAGCCUCGAUUUGGAGUCCAUGUUUGCUAUUUUUUGCUACACUACCACAUUAUUUGGUUUAUGUCUACAAAACUUCAGUGUUAGUAAUCGUGGACUGAUUUUGUAUCGUUGGUUGAUGCACGUACUGUUGCAGUUCAACAGUGAUGUUUUCCUUGACUGAACUAUGUUGGAGAUGGCGUUCCACCACUAAAUAUUUAUGGCCACUGUCUACUCAGUUUGAGAGUCAUUUUCAUAAAAAUAUUUUUUUCAAAACUUUUCUUUAAAAGUUAACGUUGUCAAGUGAAAGAAUGUUAGAAUUAUUUAUUUUAUAUGGACUUAACGUUAACUUUUUAUUACAUUAAAGUAAAACGAGAUGAUGAUAUUAAUUGGUGGACAAGACACAGGUCGUGUAUUCAUGUGGAUUCCAUAUCGGCCUGUAUCCAUUUCAUAUUAUUGGUAUGGGCUGACAAUAAUGUAGGCCUGUAGUAGACCUGUGAGCCCAUAAUGAGGGUGCACUAGGUUAAGGCUUUUAAGCCUAUAAAUAUAAGGCUAGGUCCCCUCUCCUGAUUUUAACAUAAGACGUAUUCCCAUAACUUAAGUUGCUACUAUCAUAAGCAAAGGAGAGGAAGACUCCGCCUAGUUCGUCUUCCAUUACAUGUAAGCAAUGACGAACAAAGGUACACACCUUUCCUCUCUCAUAUUCCGUUAUUUUGUGUUCUUGAUUUAUGUGAAUCUGUGAUGUGUUUCUCUAUUAAUUUCAACAUAAAAUGCUUCUCCAUAUUUUUUUUUUUUUAAGUGGCUAAAUUCCCUUUUUGUAAUUACUUGGAUCAUGUGUUAUCGAUUCAUUGAUUAUUUUUACUAAAGUUCAUUAUUUAAAAAUUAUUUUGGCACAAAUGACAAAUGACAUCAUUUUAUUCAAUGUUUUACACAUCAUUCGCGAGUGUGACUCACACAUGUGAUAUAUUUUGUAUUGAUUAUGUAAAAAGUGCCAAAAUUAAGUAGUAAAACAACAGUUAAGAUGUUUAAAAUGAACCAUAUAUAGUUGAAGUGCACAAAUAAAAAUUGAUGAUGACUUCAAGGAGGUGGGGAUGUGUUUGGCCACAAUAGGAACUUUCUAUCUCUCUUAAGUUAUAUAUUUCCAUUGUCACUUCAAUUGAAUCCAAUAUUUCUAGGCUCAAAUGAAAUAUUGAUUCUAUUUUGUUGACAAUGUUCUGAAAACAUUCAGAAUAUUAUACUCACUCGGUGUUUAUAUCAAAAUAAAUAAUUUAACUUCAGAAAUUAAAAAAUGAAAUGACAAUACAUAUUUUUCAGUAAGAAAUUUUUUGAUUGCAAUCACAAGAAAACAAAUGAAAACAACAAAAGCUUAGUUUAUGAGCAACAAUGAAUGUCAAUUUGUCUUUAUUUUUUUUAGAACUUAUUUCUCAUCACAACUUAUCUCUGCCUUCUUGUGAGGGGCAAGGCCUGCUGUUUAAAUUGUCUUGUUCUUAGAUAUUUCUUUAAGGCAUCUGAUACUGACAAUUUUUGUCUUGGUUUGAGACAACAUAAAAAAUAUCUAUGCACUUUGUCAUUUUCUUUAUUUUGAUGUUUCACCUACCUCAUAGAUCUAAAGGAGAUGUUCAAAAACAAGAACAAUGAGCUAAGUGGACUCAGGGGGCAGACCUAUGUGUAAUUUUGUAGUGUCCCAGCAUCCGUUGAACACGACGUAAACAAGAUAUAAUUAUAUAAGAAAUGUAAUAAAGAUUGAUAUAAGAUUUAAAAAAUGAAGGUUGAGUGCUUGGUUUCCAGGCGGAAUCCUAAAACCUUGGGCAUCAAUAUGCGUGUUUGAACCACCCGGACACCCACGACCCCUAGAUCCUGAAUCUACCGUUGAUGUGGUUUCAUGAUACCUAACUCAUCAAUGUAUGAAAAUCGAUGGGCUUUACAUUUUCUUUAACUAAUCAGUAUAUAAGGACCUAAAAAUAGUUGAGUCAUAUAAGCAUUUCACAUUACAUUCUUCUACACUUUUUCUACCCCUUUCAUAAUAGUACCAAGCCAAAAGGUACCUACAAAGAUGGAAGUUAAGAACAAGUAUGUAGCAAUAAAAGCCAACAUCAAUGGUGCACCAGAAGAGUCAGACUUCGAGAUAAAAGUCAAAAACCUCUCACAUAUAGUUGAGCCAGAGUCUAAGGAGGUUGUCAUCAAGAACCUGUUAGUAUCGAUUGAUCCUUAUCAGAUAAACCGGAUGAAGAGCCAAAGUUCAUCACAAACAUCGAUAAGUUAUGCAACUGCCAUUACUCCUGGCGAGGUCAUUGACACUUAUGGUGUAGGAAGAGUGUUGGUUUCUCAUCGGCCCGACUUCAAGAAAGGUGACUUGGUAUCUGGGCUGCUUACCUGGGGAGAGUACACUGUUGUAAAGGAAGGUUCCCUGUUGAAUAAGUUGGACCCUUCUCUGGCAUUUCCUUUGUCUUACCAUGUCGGAGUUUUUGGAUUCAGUGGACUUGCUGCCUAUGGUGGAUUCUUCGAAGUGUGUAAACCGAAGCCAGGGGAGAAAGUUUUCGUGUCUGCUGCUUCUGGUUCAAUAGGACAUUUAGUAGGACAGUAUGCUAAAUUACUAGGAUGUUAUGUUGUUGGCUCUGCUGGUAGCCAAGAAAAGGUAAAUUUUCUUAAGGAGACACUUGGAUUCGACGAUGCAUUCAAUUAUAAACAAGAAACUGACCUCAAAUCGGCUCUCAAAAGGUGUUUCACUCAAGGGAUCGAUGUCUACUUUGACAAUGUGGGAGGCAAGAUGCUAGAAGCAGCAGUGGCAAACAUGAAUUCAUUCGGCAGAGUAGCCAUCUGUGGGGUUAUUUCUGAGUACACGAAUGCUAGCACACGAGCUGCCCCAGAUAUGAAGGAUAUAGUCUACAAGAGGAUUAGAAUCCAAGGAUUCCUAGCAGCUGAUUUCAUGCCAGUGUAUGCAGAUUUCCUGUCGAAAACAGUUGAGUACCUCCAAGAUGGAAAACUUAAGACCAUCGAAGAUAUCUCACAAGGCGUUGAAAGCAUCCCCUCUGCUUUUAUUGGACUGUUCAAUGGUGAUAAUAUAGGCA